AGUAAAGUAGCAUAAAUAUGUACUUGGUUUAGGCUCAAGAGAUAUCGAAAUAUCGAUCUUUACUU
Molecule: transfer RNA, 65 nt
Filed under: Ophioceres incipiens
Lineage: Eukaryota; Metazoa; Echinodermata; Ophiuroidea; Amphilepidida; Ophiolepididae
Description: tRNA-Leu
Source: RNAcentral